RNAcentral lists this ribosomal RNA (600 nucleotides) under Sardinops melanosticta. RNAcentral describes it as "Sardinops melanostictus partial 16S ribosomal RNA". It matches the Rfam family "Bacterial large subunit ribosomal RNA", at positions 1845 to 2647 of the family's 2925-position model. Lineage: Eukaryota; Metazoa; Chordata; Actinopteri; Clupeiformes; Clupeidae. The record is from RNAcentral.
AUAGGAGGUCCCGCCUGCCCUGUGACCAAGUGUUUAACGGCCGCGGUAUUUUAACCGUGCGAAGGUAGCGCAAUCAAUUGUCUUUUAAAUGGAGACCUGUAUGAAUGGCAUAACGAGGGUUCAACUGUCUCUUUUUUCCGGUCAAUGAAACUGAUCUGCCCGUGCAGAAGCGGGCAUAUUCACACAAGACGAGAAGACCCUAUGGAGCUUUAGACACCAACCAACCACGAAAAGCGGCCCUAAUUGGAGCCCCAAACAACGUGAUUCUGGCAUAAGUGUCUUCGGUUGGGGCGACCACGGGAGAUAGCACAGCUCCCGAGUGGAUGGGGGACACCCUAAAACCCAGAGCCACAGCUCUAAGUCACAAAACAUUUGACCAAUAAUGAUCCGGCUUAAUGCCGACCAACGGACCAAGUUACCCUAGGGAUAACAGCGCAAUCCUCUCCCAGAGUCCAUAUCGACGAGGGGGUUUACGACCUCGAUGUUGGAUCAGGACAUCCUAAUGGUGCAGCCGCUAUUAAGGGUUCGUUUGUUCAACGAUUAAAGUCCUACGUGAUCUGAGUUCAGACCGGAGUAAUCCAGGUCAGUUUCUAUCUGUGA